CCUACGGGAGGCAGCAGUGGGGAAUAUUGCACAAUGGGGGAAACCCUGAUGCAGCAACGCCGCGUGGGUGAAGAAGUAUUUCGGUAUGUAAAGCCCUAUCAGCAGGGAAGAGAAUGACGGUACCUGACUACGAAGCCCCGGCUAACUACGUGCCAGCAGCCGCGGUAAUACGUAGGGGGCAAGCGUUAUCCGGAUUUACUGGGUGUAAAGGGAGCGUAGACGGUUGGGCAAGUCUGAAGUGAAAGCCCGCGGCUCAACUGGGGAACGGCUGUGGAGACUGUGUGACUGGAGUGCUGGAGAGGGAGGCGGAAGUCCGGGUGUAGCGGUGAAAUGCGUAGAGAUCAGGAAGAACACCGACGGCGAAGGCAGCUUACUGGACAGCAACUGACGCUGAGGCUCGAAAGCGUGGGGAGCAAACAGGAGUAGAUACCCCAGUAGUC
RNAcentral lists this ribosomal RNA (440 nucleotides) under uncultured bacterium. RNAcentral's name for it is "partial 16S ribosomal RNA". It matches the Rfam family "Bacterial small subunit ribosomal RNA", at positions 338 to 795 of the family's 1533-position model. The record is from RNAcentral.